This 21-nucleotide small nuclear RNA is filed under the name Arabidopsis thaliana (thale cress). RNAcentral's name for it is "snRNA_14818". Lineage: Eukaryota; Viridiplantae; Streptophyta; Magnoliopsida; Brassicales; Brassicaceae. The record is from RNAcentral.
UGGUUAUAACUAUCUAGUCAU